CCUGUACACUCCCUUCCCUCCCUCUCCCAAGUCCAGUCCGCAGCUCGCUCAUCACCAGGCUCUUUUCCAUGACUCUUUCUUGAUCAGGCCUUUUUAUCGUCCUCACCACAGGUAAUCCCUCCCCGGAAAGAGAAGAUCACAGAUUUUGUCAUAUUAAAUACAUUGUAGAAAUUCAUGGUAGCAGGGGCAAGAUCAUUUAAACAAAACAGAAAGUUUCAGAGAGAGAAAAAGCCAAGGACAAAGAUUAAUCAUUUUUCUGCUUAAAAAAAAUGGCUUUGAUUUGCAACCAUGGAAUGCUC
Molecule: long non-coding RNA, 299 nt
Organism: Homo sapiens (human)
Lineage: Eukaryota; Metazoa; Chordata; Mammalia; Primates; Hominidae
Source: Ensembl